Non-coding RNA from Phasianus colchicus (ring-necked pheasant), 1827 nucleotides. The record is from RefSeq and is a predicted model, not a curated record. Lineage: Eukaryota; Metazoa; Chordata; Aves; Galliformes; Phasianidae.
UGCCCUCCGAGCGCCUCCGCGGGCGCUGCGAGCCCGGGCAGGACCUCGUGCUCGUCAAGUGUGGGCAACUGUCUUCCGCGUCCUACAGGGGGAAGCCCCUUCCCCGAGGAACCGCCGUGCCUUUGCCACCCAAGCCUCCGUGCAGGCGGCUUCCAGAACGUUCCGGCUAUUCCCCCCCGCUGAGCCCGGGGAAAGGCAGCUCGAGGCCAACCGAGCUCCUCGUGCCGGUUUCUGGAGGCUGGAGGAGAAACCCACAGCGGAGUGUGGGCUCAGAAGGAGCGGAAUCAUUAUCGAAACCCCAAAUAGCACGGCUCUAACUCCCACUUGUGUCUCGUGUUUAGGAUUGCAGUGAUGUGGAGAGCCGGAGGUGCCCCGGUGGCGCGGGGAUGGAGUCAGGAGAUGCCCAGGAGGAGGAUAUCGCCUCAUCUGCUGCUCCCAACAAGCCCAGGCCACCUGGCAUGGGAGGGCGCGGGCACAGCAGCGUGUGAGUCACCUCGGACACGCAGCUGCUCAGAUCACUGUGAGCCAGACUGUAUACAAGACCGAACAGCUCCUAGUCUUCAACCAGGAGUUGAAGUAAUUUUCAACAGGACGCUCAGCCAAUGUGAAAAGGGGUAAUAACAAGGCAGAUAUACAUAAAGCAAUAAAUGGGAAGAAAAUAUUUGGGAAUUUAAGCAGAUGCAGCUACAACCAGUUCAUCUGUUGAUGCAUGAGUGUUAUGUUUCAUUUUCAAGUGCUGUUUAACCAGUAAGGCAUUGGAAACAAUGCAGUUAUACGUAGUAAAAUGUUUUCUUUUGCCAUUUCCUGAUUUGGAAAUAUCCUUCUAGAUUUUCAGGAUGUUUCCCCUGAAUUCUUCAGGUUCAUCUUGCUAUCAUGUGAGCAAUUUCAGAAGACACAUUCCCUAGCUAACACACAUCUCCUUGCAGUUGUACACUGCACAACAUUUAUAAUUAAGCCUCUUAGGAAGUGUUCACUGCACGGCCCAUGAUUAACUUCCCUUCAUUCUUCAUUGUUGAAGCUCAGCACGGAGAUCUCUGGAGUAAUCACUCCACCUUUCCAGCCUAAAAUGCCAAACUGCAUCAUAGUUUACAAGUCAGUGUGCACUACAAUAUCGUCCCAGCAUGGAAAGGACGUGUUGAUGCCUUUAUCACAGUCUAACAGGCAAUACAGGCUGAUCCAAGGAAAGUAUUCUCUCAGCAGAUGAGCUAGAUAAAGCAGCUCAUCAGAGGCUGUUGACACACAGCAUGGCAUCUAUAAUUAAGCCACUAGGGAAGAAGGGAUGGGACGACGUAACAAAGGUAGGGUCCAGUUUGCACACAGCUUUCAGCAGAUCCCAAAAUGUGAGCUAAGUGUGUAUUAUAAAUUUGUCAAAUAACGGUGAGGAAAAGGGCGUAGAGGGUGCAGUGUUCUUUAAACAUGUUUGCUAGGUAUAUUUUGAUGGUGUCCCACCAUGGCUCUGCUCUCUUUGUGUCUUCUUUCAGACAAAAGCUGUGUGAAGGAGAGGUGUCUGUGUUGGAAGUGUGAUAAUGAAUGGCACAUUGAGAACACAACCAGCUCAUAAUAACUGUAACGACUGGUGUUCCCUGUUCUGCAGGAUGGGGAGGGAGAGUGUCUCCAGUGCAUAGAAGUCAGUUCUUGAGCUGGACAGUUCUGUAAGCUGUAUCGGUGUCACGGUGCUGAGGGCACUGGUUGUGGUGCUGGAAGAAGAUUCCUCCAUCUCUCUGACACAACUCUAACACAGCAGUGUGUUAAAUACACUGUCCGUGCAUGGGGAUGAACGAUGAGAUAGAUGCACUACAGAGAAAAAUAAAGAAACUGUUACAUGAA